This is a long non-coding RNA of Lemur catta (Ring-tailed lemur), 1927 nucleotides long. RefSeq lists it as uncharacterized. The transcript is spliced from 3 exons. NCBI's taxonomy places the organism in Eukaryota, Metazoa, Chordata, Mammalia, Primates, Lemuridae. The record is from RefSeq and is a predicted model, not a curated record.
GUCCAGGAGAGAGGGAAAUCUCAGAAAAUAGGGAAAAGGCCCCACGGUAGCAAAAGCUGUGGCUGCCGCGUGUGCGCCCUGCGACCCGGGCUGAGCACAGGCCACGGACUCCAGCCACGAGUGGAGGGCGAGGGCCGGGUGUGCAGACUGGGGAGUGAGGCGCGGGAGGCAGAGCCACGGCCAGGCGGGAUCCUUAGGGAAUCGGGCUUUACUCUAAAGGAUCUGAAGGAGGCAGGCUAGAUGGCGAGGUAGACAAUGAAAUGGAGGUGAGUAGGAGGGACUGACUCCAGGCAGGAGAGGAGAGGUGGUGGUCGCAGGGCAGGUGGGGACGAGCAAGCCCCGCGAGGAGGGUGGGCAGGAGGCAGGCGGGGGUCUGAGGUGCGGGGCAGUACCAGGCUGAGAGUCGCCUAAAGCACACGGCCCUCCUUCCACAAGGAACACGACAAGCCUACAUAAGACCGAUGCCAUCUCUCCUUUCACUGCUACCAAAGGCCCGCACCAGGCCCGGGUCCCCAGCAACACGGCUGCAGGGUCUCCCACACUCCUCAGAGAGGCUCCCAGAGCGCGGCCUGGGCGCUAAGGACAGAGGCACGGGCGUCACCCAGCCCCACCGGCCACUCCUGACCCUGCACAAACUCUCCAGCAAGACACCUGGUCUGUUGAAUGUGGGUGACAUGCUCUGCCCUGUCAGCCACACCACAUUAAUGCUGAGCCACAGGGAAGCCUGAGGAAGUGUCACCGUGGCCACGCCCAGGCAGUGGCUGAGGCCCACGGAAAGCACUGACUUAGCAGCAACGCUGGGCCCAGCGCUAGGAGGAGGCUGAGAACAGAGACGAGGUUUCGGCAUGUUGCCCCAGAUGGUCUCAAACUACUGGACUCAAGUGAUGACCUCUCCCCCAUCUCAGCCUCCCAAAGUGCUGGGAACACAAGCAUGAGUCACUACACCUGAUCUGAAAUAAAUUUUUAAGUACAAGACAGUCUGAACAAGGAAAUACCUAAGAAAGACUUCCUUCCGAAGAAAUUCUUCUAAUCGGGGUCCACUUCUUCCCAGAGGAUCAUCAGGAACCAUAAAUAUGUCCCCCACGAAUGUAUAUUGAAGCAAUCUACAACACAGAAAAUAAUCACAGUGCUGGGGAAACACGAAGUCUUCAUUGCUGCAGGCUGAGAAGUCUCUCAAAGUAGCUACCCAGUUCCAAAGCAAUAUUUCUGGUCAGCCUAUAGAUUCUAAGACUGCUUAACUGCCCAAAGGGGAAGCAAAAAAAUAAAUAAAUAAAUAGAAACCACCCAAGUUAAACCAUUUAAAUUUCUGUUUUGGACACAAAUACAAGGACUAAGAAACGUGGUCACAGCUGGCCCUCAAAUUUCUCAAAGACUUUCAGAUUUCUAGCCCAGCCUGGAAAGCAGCUUCUUCUCCUACUGUAACUUUCAAUAUAACUUUCAAAAACAAGAUGUAAAGACUGUCUGUCAGCUCAGGAACCAACAGGUACUCAAUGAAGGUUUAAUUUUAGAAUAAAAGUGGUAAUAAGUGUGCCCAUAGGCAAACCUACUGAAAACAACCUUUUAAAAAAGAAAAACAAUAUAUGAAGAAAGAAAAUCUGAGGUCAGCAGAGCAUUAUUCAUCAAAUCUGGGGAAGAUGGAAAAAAAAAAAAUAGUCCCAAGUGCCUGUGUUUGUUGCCCAGGUCUUGUUUCUGCCUUGCUUUUGUGGAUUCCGAAAGCAACGGGUUGGUCUGAAAAUAUGAAUCUUGUAUUCUCGUGCAUUUAAAGCCUCCAGCAUGCACAGGUACUCUGAGCUGCCUGGCAAAGCCUUUUUAACCAUCUUCCAAUCAUGACCUAAGCCACAAACAACUUGAAGUUUCCCUGGAACAUUUCAUAAUUCAUAAAAAGUUCAAAACCUUCACGAGUGGCCUGCCGGUCAGUCACGAAGUA